RNAcentral lists this ribosomal RNA (252 nucleotides) under uncultured bacterium. Its description in RNAcentral is "partial 16S ribosomal RNA". It matches the Rfam family "Bacterial small subunit ribosomal RNA", at positions 524 to 776 of the family's 1533-position model. The record is from RNAcentral.
UACGGGGGGGCAAGCGUUGUUCGGAAUUACUGGGCGUAAAGGGCUCGUAGGCGGCCAACUAAGUCAGACGUGAAAUCCCCAGGCUUAACCUGGGAACUGCGUCUGAUACUGGAUGGCUUGAAUUCGGGAGAGGGAUGCAGAAUUCCAGGUGUAGCGGUGAAAUGCGUAGAUAUCUGGAGGAAUACCGGUGGCGAAGGCGGCAUCCUGGACCGACAUUGACGCUGAGGCGCGAAAGCUAGGGGAGCGAACGGG